This 437-nucleotide ribosomal RNA is filed under the name Caulobacter sp. FWC 28. RNAcentral's name for it is "bacterial SSU rRNA". It matches the Rfam family "Bacterial small subunit ribosomal RNA", at positions 958 to 1393 of the family's 1533-position model. The record is from RNAcentral. Lineage: Bacteria; Pseudomonadati; Pseudomonadota; Alphaproteobacteria; Caulobacterales; Caulobacteraceae.
AACGCGAAGAACCUUACCACCUUUUGACAUGCCCGGACCACCAGAGAGAUCUGGCUUUCCCUUCGGGGACUGGGACACAGGUGCUGCAUGGCUGUCGUCAGCUCGUGUCGUGAGAUGUUGGGUUAAGUCCCGCAACGAGCGCAACCCUCGCGAUUAGUUGCCAUCAGGUUUGGCUGGGCACUCUAAUCGUACUGCCGGAGUUAAUCCGGAGGAAGGCGGGGAUGACGUCAAGUCCUCAUGGCCCUUACAAGGUGGGCUACACACGUGCUACAAUGGCGACUACAGAGGGCUGCAAUCCCGCGAGGGGGAGCCAAUCCCUAAAAGUCGUCUCAGUUCGGAUUGUUCUCUGCAACUCGAGAGCAUGAAGUUGGAAUCGCUAGUAAUCGCGGAUCAGCAUGCCGCGGUGAAAUACGUUCCCCGGCCCUUGUACACANCCG